GUGCUACUUCCUCCGUCCAACAAAAGAUGUUUCAAAUUUGUCAAAAAUUAGAAUUAUCUAGACAUGACUUAGUGUAUAGAUGCAUUCAAAUUUAGUCAAACUUGAGACAUCCUUUGUUGGACGGAGGGAAUAAUUA
This is a non-coding RNA of Brachypodium distachyon (stiff brome), 136 nucleotides long. The record is from Rfam. Lineage: Eukaryota; Viridiplantae; Streptophyta; Magnoliopsida; Poales; Poaceae.